This 87-nucleotide non-coding RNA is filed under the name Sediminibacillus halophilus. RNAcentral's name for it is "c-di-GMP sequence". It matches the Rfam family "c-di-GMP-I riboswitch aptamer". Rfam says of the family: GEMM was predicted in a large-scale screen for bacterial structured RNA regulatory elements. Genes associated with GEMM are involved in a diverse array of functions, including chemotaxis regulation, signal transduction, secretion and chitin. Lineage: Bacteria; Bacillati; Bacillota; Bacilli; Caryophanales; Bacillaceae. The record is from RNAcentral.
CUCAGAUAAGGGCAAACCUAUUGAAAGAUAGGGACGCAAAGCCACAGGUCUUCUAUUGGAAACAAUAAUGACGGCUGGGCCGCCUGA